UUUAAUUCGAUGAUACGCGAGGAGCCUUACCUGGGCUAGAAUGCAGUUUGACCGUGGGUGAAAGCUCAUUUUGUAGCAAUACACAGAUUGCAAGGUGCUGCAUGGCUGUCGUCAGCUCGUGCCGCGAGGUGUUGGGUUAAGUCCCGCAACGAGCGCAACCCCUAUCACUAGUUGCCAUCAGGUAAAGCUGGGAACUCUAGUGAGACUGCCGUCGUAAGACGCGAGGAGGGAGAGGAUGAUGUCAAGUCAUCAUGGCCUUUAUGCCCAGGGCUACACACGUGCUACAAUGGAGCGUACAAAGGGCUGCCACCUGGCAACAGGGCGCUAAUCCCAAAAAACGCUUCUCAGUUCAGAUUGGGGUCUGCAACUCGACCCCAUGAAGCUGGAAUCGCUAGUAAUCGUAUAUCAGCAAUGAUA
This 417-nucleotide ribosomal RNA is filed under the name uncultured bacterium. RNAcentral's name for it is "bacterial SSU rRNA". It matches the Rfam family "Bacterial small subunit ribosomal RNA", at positions 945 to 1359 of the family's 1533-position model. The record is from RNAcentral.